Molecule: ribosomal RNA, 503 nt
Filed under: Penaeus semisulcatus
Lineage: Eukaryota; Metazoa; Arthropoda; Malacostraca; Decapoda; Penaeidae
Description: partial 12S ribosomal RNA
Rfam family: Microsporidia small subunit ribosomal RNA (bases 135-503)
Source: RNAcentral
GUGCUAAUAAAGGGUGAAAUCAAUUUUUUAGCAUACAGUAAAAUAAAAGCUUUGAUUUAAAUUGAAGCUGUUAAGAUAAAGGGAUGAACCAGGAUUAGAUACCCUGUUACACUUUAUUUAAAUUAUAAUUACCUGGGUACUAAACAGUUAUUAUCUUGAAACUCAAAGGAUUUGGCGGUAACUUAGUCUAUUUAGAGGAACCUGUCCUGUAAUCGAUAGUCCACGAAAAAUCUUACUUUACCUUGUAAAAACAGUUUGUAUACCGUCAUUAUUAGGUAACUUUUAUAAAAGGAGAAGUUACUAAAAUAGUUUAGCUAAUAUAUUAGAUCAAGGUGCAGCUAAUGGUAAAGGAAGAGAUGGGUUACAAUAUACUAAAGUAAACGGAACAAUAAAUGAAUAUUUACUGAUAAAGGUGGAUUUAAGAGUAAAAUAAUUUUAACAAGAUUAUUUGACUUUAGCUCUAGGUUAUGUACACAUCGCCCGUCGCUCUCGUUAAUUAAAGC